Molecule: ribosomal RNA, 406 nt
Filed under: uncultured bacterium
Lineage: Bacteria
Description: partial 16S ribosomal RNA
Rfam family: Bacterial small subunit ribosomal RNA
Source: RNAcentral
AUUGAACGCUGGCGGCAGGCUUAACACAUGCAAGUCGAGCGAGCGGCGGACGGGUGAGUAAUGUCUGGGAAACUCCCUGCUGGAGGGGGAUAACUACUGGAACCUGUAGCUAAUACCGCCUACCAUCCUAUAUGCACAGAUGGUCAGAGCUAGUAGGUGGGGUAAUGGAUCACCUAGGCGACGAUCCCUAGCUGGUCUGAGAGGAUGACCAGCCACACUGUAACUUAGACACGGCCCAGACUCCUACGGGAGGCAGCAGUGGGGAAUAUUGCACAAUGGGCGCAAGCCUGAUGCAGCCAUGCCGCGUGUGUGAAGAAGGCCUUCGGGUUGUAAAGCACUUUCAGCGAGGAGGCGUUACUCGCAGAAGAAGCACCGGCUAACUCCGUGCCAGCAGCCGCGGUAAUUC